GAUGAGCAUGCGUCCCAUUAGCUAGUUGGUAAGGUAACGGCUUACCAAGGCUACGAUGGGUAGGGGUCCUGAGAGGGAGAUCCCCCACACUGGUACUGAGACACGGACCAGACUCCUACGGGAGGCAGCAGUGAGGAAUAUUUGACAAUGGGCGCAAGCCUGAUCCAGCCAUGCCGCGUGCAGGAUGACGGUCCUAUGGAUUGUAAACUGCUUUUAUACGAGAAGAAACACUCCUUCGUGAAGGAGCUUGACGGUAUCGUAAGAAUAAGGAUCGGCUAACUCCGUGCCAGCAGCCGCGGUAAUACGGAGGAUCCAAGCGUUAUCCGGAAUCAUUGGGUUUAAAGGGUCCGUAGGCGGUUUAAUAAGUCAGUGGUGAAAGCCCAUCGCUCAACGGUGGAACGGCCAUUGAUACUGUUAGACUUGAAUUAUUAGGAAGUAACUAGAAUAUGUAGUGUAGCGGUGAAAUGCUUAGAGAUUACAUGGAAUACCAAUUGCGAAGGCAGGUUACUACUAAUUGAUUGACGCU
This 526-nucleotide ribosomal RNA is filed under the name uncultured bacterium. Its description in RNAcentral is "bacterial SSU rRNA". It matches the Rfam family "Bacterial small subunit ribosomal RNA", at positions 224 to 747 of the family's 1533-position model. The record is from RNAcentral.